GACGAACGCUGGCGGCGUGCUUAACACAUGCAAGUCGAACGGAAAGGCCCUGCUUUUGUGGGGUGCUCGAGUGGCGAACGGGUGAGUAACACGUGAGUAACCUGCCCUUGACUUUGGGAUAACGUCAGGAAACUGGGGCUAAUACCGGAUAGGAGCUCCUGCUGCAUGGUGGGGGUUGGAAAGUUUCGGCGGUUGGGGAUGGACUCGCGGCUUAUCAGCUUGUUGGUGGGGUAGUGGCUUACCCAGGCUUUGACGGGUAGCCGGCCUGAGUGGGUGACCGGCGACAUUGGGACUGAGAUACGGCCCAGACUCCUACGGGAGGCAGCAGUGGGGAAUAUUGCACAAUGGGCGGAAGCCUGAUGCAGCAACGCCGCGUGCGGGAUGACGGCCUUCGGGUUGUAAACCGCUUUCGCCUGUGACGAAGCUUGAGUGACGGUAAUGGGUAAAGAAGCAGCGGCUAACUACGUG
RNAcentral lists this ribosomal RNA (468 nucleotides) under uncultured bacterium. RNAcentral's name for it is "partial 16S ribosomal RNA". It matches the Rfam family "Bacterial small subunit ribosomal RNA", at positions 28 to 507 of the family's 1533-position model. The record is from RNAcentral.